RNAcentral lists this ribosomal RNA (468 nucleotides) under Clostridioides difficile. Its description in RNAcentral is "bacterial SSU rRNA". It matches the Rfam family "Bacterial small subunit ribosomal RNA", at positions 540 to 1008 of the family's 1533-position model. Lineage: Bacteria; Bacillati; Bacillota; Clostridia; Peptostreptococcales; Peptostreptococcaceae. The record is from RNAcentral.
GUCGUCCUGGUGUACUGGGCGUAACGGGUGCGUAGGCGGUCUUUCCAGUCAGGAGUGAAAGGCUACGGCGCAACCGUAGGAAGCUCUUGAAACUGGGCGACUUGAGGGCAGAGGAGGAGAUUGAAAUGUCGCGGGUAGCGGUGAAAUGCGGAGAUAUUAGGAGGAACACCAGUUGCGAAGGCGGCUCUCUGGACUGUAACGGACGCUGAGGCACGAAAGCGUGGGGAGCAACCAGGAUUAGAUACCCUGGUAGUCCACGCUGUAAACGAUGAGUACUAGGGGUCGGGGGUUACCCCCUUCGGUUCCGCAGCUAACGCAUUAAGUACUCCGCCUGGGCAGUACGCUCGCAAGAGUGAAACUCAAAGGAAUUGACGUGGACCCGCACAAGUAGCGGAGCAGGUGGUUUAAUUCGAAGCAACGCGACGAACCUUACCUAAGCUUGCCAUCCCAAUGACAUCUCCUUAACCG